RNAcentral lists this ribosomal RNA (743 nucleotides) under Arsenophonus endosymbiont of Bemisia tabaci. Its description in RNAcentral is "bacterial LSU rRNA". It matches the Rfam family "Bacterial large subunit ribosomal RNA", at positions 1 to 778 of the family's 2925-position model. Lineage: Bacteria; Pseudomonadati; Pseudomonadota; Gammaproteobacteria; Enterobacterales; Morganellaceae. The record is from RNAcentral.
GGGUUGUGAGGUUAAGCGAAUGAAGCGUACACGGUGGAUGCCUAGGCAGUCAGAGGCGAUGAAGGACGUGCUAAUCUGCGAAAAGCGUCGGUAAGCUGAUAUGAAGCGUACUAGCCGGCGAUGUCCGAAUGGGGAAACCCAGUGCAUUAAUGCACUAUCGUUUGAUGAAUUCAUAGUCAAACGAGGCGAACCGGGGAAACUGAAACAUCUCAGUACCCCGAGGAAAAGAAAUCAACCGAGAUUCCCCCAGUAGCGGCGAGCGAACAGGGAGCAGCCCAGAGUCAACAUCAAUAUUUACCGCAGGAGAAAGAUCUGGAAAGGCCGGCAAUAAAGGGUGAUAGCCCCGUAUCUGAAGCGGUAAGUGUUGUGAACUCGAAGAGUAAGGCGGGACACGUGUUAUCCUGUCUGAAUAUGGGGGGACCAUCCUCCAAGGCUAAAUACUCCUGACUGACCGAUAGUGAACCAGUACCGUGAGGGAAAGGCGAAAAGAACCCCGGCGAGGGGAGUGAAAUAGAACCUGAAACCGUGUACGUACAAGCAGUAGGAGCACCCGAAAAGGUGUGACUGCGUACCUUUUGUAUAAUGGGUCAGCGACUUAUAUUCUGUAGCAAGGUUAACCGCAUAGGGGAGCCGUAGGGAAACCGAGUCUUAACUGGGCGUUAAGUUGCAGGGUAUAGACCCGAAACCCGGUGAUCUAGCCAUGAGCAGGUUGAAGGUUGGGUAACACUAACUGGAGGACCGGA